UACGGAGGGUGCAAGCGUUUGUCCGGAAUCACUGGGCGUAAAGGGCGCGUAGGCGGCUCAGUGAAGGCUGUGGUGAAAGUCCGGGGCUCAACCUCGGAUCGGCCGUGGCGACUCGUGGGCUGGAGCACUGUAGAGGCGGGUGGAAUUCCGGGUGUAGCGGUGGAAUGCGUAGAGAUCCGGAAGAACACCAGUGGCGAAGGCGGCCCGCUGGGCAGUGGCUGACGCUGAGGCGCGACAGCGUGGGGAGCAAACAGG
RNAcentral lists this ribosomal RNA (255 nucleotides) under uncultured bacterium. Its description in RNAcentral is "partial 16S ribosomal RNA". It matches the Rfam family "Bacterial small subunit ribosomal RNA", at positions 524 to 776 of the family's 1533-position model. The record is from RNAcentral.